RNAcentral lists this ribosomal RNA (497 nucleotides) under uncultured bacterium. RNAcentral describes it as "partial 16S ribosomal RNA". It matches the Rfam family "Bacterial small subunit ribosomal RNA", at positions 28 to 507 of the family's 1533-position model. The record is from RNAcentral.
GAUGAACGCUGGCGGCGUGCCUAAUACAUGCAAGUCGAGCGAACAGACGAGGAGCUUGCUCCUCUGACGUUAGCGGCGGAAGGGUGAGUAACACGUGGAUAACCUACCUAUAAGACUGGGAUAAAUUCGGGAAACCGGAGCUAAUACCGGAUAAUAUAUUGAACCGCAUGGUUCAAUAGUGAAAGACGGUUUUGCUGUCACUUAUAGAUGGAUCCGCGCCGCAUUAGCUAGUUGGUAAGGUAAAGGCUUACCAAGGCAACGAUGCGUAGCCGACCUGAGAGGGUGAUCAGCCACACUGGAACUGAGACACGGUCCAGACUCCUACGGGAGGCAGCAGUAGGGAAUCUUGCGCAAUGGGCGAAAGCCUGACGGAGCAACGCCGCGUGAAUGAUGAAGGUCUUCGGAUCGUAAAACGCUGUUAUUAGGGAAGAACAAAUGUGUAAGUAACUAUGCACGUCUUGACGGUACCGAAUCAGAAAGCCACGGCUAACUACGUG